AUCCAGCUGACGAGUCCCAAGUAGAACGAAACGCGUGUGCUGUAU
This is a non-coding RNA of Schistosoma mansoni, 45 nucleotides long. NCBI's taxonomy places the organism in Eukaryota, Metazoa, Platyhelminthes, Trematoda, Strigeidida, Schistosomatidae. The record is from Rfam.